UAGGGAAUCUUCCGCAAUGGACGAAAGCCUGACGGAGCAACGCCGCGUGAGUGAUGAAGGUCUUCGGAUCGUAAAACUCUGUUAUUAGGGAAGAACAAAUGUGUAAGUAACUAUGCACAUCUUGACGGUACCUAAUCAGAAAGCCACGCCUAACUACGUGCCAGCAGCCGCGGUAAUACGUAGGUGGCAAGCGUUAUCCGGAAUUAUUGGGCGUAAAGCGAGCGCAGGCGGUCAAUUAAGUCUGAUGUGAAAGCCCCCGGCUCAACCGGGGAGGCUCAUUGUAAACUGGUUUCGUUAAGGGACGAAGAGGAGGGUUGAAUUCCAUGUGUAGCGGUGAAAUUCGUAGAUAUAUGGAGGAACACCGGUGGCGAAAGCGGCUCUCUGGUCUGUAACUGACGCUGAGGCUCCAAAGCGUGGGGAGCCAACAGG
This 429-nucleotide ribosomal RNA is filed under the name Bacteroidota bacterium. RNAcentral's name for it is "Bacteroidetes bacterium partial 16S ribosomal RNA". It matches the Rfam family "Bacterial small subunit ribosomal RNA", at positions 355 to 776 of the family's 1533-position model. Lineage: Bacteria; Pseudomonadati; Bacteroidota. The record is from RNAcentral.